GGAGUGUUAAAAUAGGAAUGUAUAUAGGUAUAGGAGAUUAACUGAAUCCCUAUAAUUAAGGGAUUCCCUUGUUUACUCCCUUAUAGGGUUGCGGCAAUUGUACAAAAAUAUACAAUGUAUAGCUUGAGAAAUUAUCAAGUUACUCUUCCAAAAAUUUCUCUCUUUCUAUUUUCACAAGAAAAAAAGAAAUGGAAUACCAAUUCUAAAUUUGAUUAAGCAAAAUAACCAAGCAUAACCCAUAAAACUGAAAAUCAAAUAAAGUAAAAUAAAAUCUCACCUCAAACAAUUAUAUAUAAAAUUAACAAAGGGAAAACCAUCACAAUCAGAACUCCCAGCUCCGAAAUAAUAAUAAUAUGUUUGCAAUGAUUAUAAUUCUUACUAGUAU
RNAcentral lists this unclassified non-coding RNA (385 nucleotides) under Hevea brasiliensis (rubber tree). Lineage: Eukaryota; Viridiplantae; Streptophyta; Magnoliopsida; Malpighiales; Euphorbiaceae. The record is from RNAcentral.